GUGUCUGAUGAUGAUCAAAUCAUGCAUACUCUUGCUGGAUUAGGUCCAGAGUAUGAUUCUGUCAUGGUUACCAUCACAUCUAAGCCGGAGGUUUGGACUCUCGGUGAUGUAAGCUCUCUGCUGCUAAGCUUUGAAA
Small nucleolar RNA from Salvia miltiorrhiza (redroot sage), 136 nucleotides. RefSeq annotates it as small nucleolar RNA Z247. Lineage: Eukaryota; Viridiplantae; Streptophyta; Magnoliopsida; Lamiales; Lamiaceae. The record is from RefSeq and is a predicted model, not a curated record. The transcript has a single exon.